This is a non-coding RNA of Nicotiana tabacum (common tobacco), 2677 nucleotides long. NCBI's taxonomy places the organism in Eukaryota, Viridiplantae, Streptophyta, Magnoliopsida, Solanales, Solanaceae. The record is from RefSeq and is a predicted model, not a curated record.
UAAUUUGGGUUAAUUAAAAUUUGGCAUUUUCCCCCAAAGGGACAGCCCUAUGAGUAAUCACUCCAUAAUUCUAGGGUUUCUCUUUCCCCUUCGUUUGAAAAAACCUCUUUCCGAUGAACCCAAAAGAGUAGAGAAAGCACUCAAAGUACGCAUAAGGCUAUUUGAUACUCCUUUUUGGAUCUUCCAAAUUCAUAAUCUCAAGUCUUGGUAAGCUGAAAAUCUGCUACCUCGUCUUUUGUUUUCUAAAAAUCGUUUCUUUCCAUUUUGGAUGAUGUUGGUAUUGUUGGUUUUCUUGGGGUAUGAGCAUCAUUUCAGUAAGUCAAGAAAAGUAGCUGUAUUUUGGCAUAUUGUCUUAAGUUUGAGAAGCAAUUGAGGUUUCUGUACAAUGAGGGGAUUGGAAAAAAAAAGAAUCUUUAUUAUUUAGAAGAAGAAGAAGAAAUGACAGCAUAGAAAGUUGAUUUUUCUCUUAAUUUGGUUGAAAUAAAUAUUUUGGAUUGGCUUGAAAGUUGAAUUUGGUCCUUGAUGUAAAUUAUUUGAAAUGUUUCCUAUGUAUAAGUGGAACCAAAUAACUCAGUUUGUGAUCAUUUUUCAGUCCCGUAUUACUUGUGCUGAACAUGUAAACUAAAUCAAAGUAUUUGCUACUUAGUAUAAUUUUCAUUAGUCGCCAUCAUACCACUUCUAGACUAGGUUAAUGUAUAUUCUUAUUAUGAGAAGGGUUCAAUCGUCAACUUACAUCCUAUAAAAGAUGGAACUUGUUAGGUUCAUCCCUUAAAGUUCUUAGCAUUGAACUUAACUUAUCAUACUUUUGAAAUUAUGGAUUUAGAAUAUACUAUUUUAGUGUCAUGUUCCAUGUAAAAAUUACCGGAUCCGGUUGAACUUGUAGCUAAUAAGCUACAUCUGCUACUGGUGGUGUCGAAUGACCAUAUGAAAAAAAAACGAUUUUGCUAUGUAAUAAAGGACUCUUUGGUCAGAGGAAGCUAGAUCUACAAUUGGGGUUUUGCCAUCAGUUACUAAAAAGGGCAGCCUGGUGUACUAAGCUUCCGCUAUGCGCGAGGUCCAGGGAAGAGCCGAACCACAAGGGUCUAUUAUACGCAGCCUUACCCUGCAUUUCUGCAAGAGGUUGUUUCCACGGCUCGAACCCGUGACCGCUUGGUCACAUGGCAACAACUUUACCAGUUACGCUAAGCGUCUCAACCAGCUUCAUAUAAGCGAUCCCGGAGGCUCGUGCGUAGUGCCCCUUGUUCGGGUGCCACAAAAUGGAAUGCAUCUGUCCGCGAUGCAGCUUGUGAAAGGUUUCAAGAAAGGGGAACCUACAUUUCUUGCAACCUUGACGGGAAUCGUUGAGAGCUCCCUUGAGGCAGUAGCAUUCUCCCCUUCCAAAAUACUUGAUCAAGUGUCAACUUUUGAAGUCUGCACCAGAUAAGACAUCUAAGUCUCCAUAAAUGUUUAAUAAAUCCUCCACCAGCUUUCAAAGGAUUUGAUAAGUUAGUUGCCCUCGAACUUUGUGAAGUCACAAUUUCUUCCAAAUUUCUUGGAAGUUUAAUCUCUUACAGCCUGUUGCUCGAGCAGCUGGUGCUGCAAUCAAGUAUCUCCGAUCACAUUCAAAUUAAAGCUCCCAAGUUGAGAUCCUUUGACUUCACAGGCAGUUUAAAAUUAAUUCCUUAAUGGAUAUCCCUCUUCUUGCAAAACUUUCACUUGUAGAUAUAGAUGAGGGAGGAAGCUAUGAUACUGCCAAGUUUUUGAGUCUUUUCCUGCUCUCGAGCAUCUCCACUUGAAUUGUUAUAGUGUCCAGUUCUUAGCAGGCAAAGUACCAAAACAGCUCUUCUCUCCUCUUAACUGUCUUAAACGUCUUUACCUAUCUGACAUAUGUCUAGAUGGUGUAGACGAGGCUUCAUGUGUUCUUUGCUUGAUAAGAAGCUCCCCAUAUUUACAGGACAUUGAAAUUCAGGUUUUUCUUUCUCUUCUCUAUGCUCUUUCUGCAUGUAAUUGCUAGAGUGUCUUAUACACUUAUUUCAUUAGCAUUAAUCCUCAAUUUUAGCUCAAAGGGACAAACGUUUGUUAUUUUAUAGUUGUAUGAUUCAGCUUCUGGGUAUGAUUAUGUUAUGGAGGAGAUUGCUGGUCUAGAAUCUCGUGAAGUUGAAAGCUUCUCAGAUGUGACAUUGAAUCACCUGAGAUCUGUUAAGCUUACAGGUAUAAUAGGCUUAACUCCUGAAAUGGAACUUAUCCAGCUUCUCUUAGCCAAGUCUCCAAUGCUCAUCAGAAUGCUAAUCGAGCCCGGGGUAGGAGAUAAUUCUCCUGAAACAAGACUCAAGGUACUCGCAGAGAUAACAAAGUUUCGGCGGGCAUCAUCUAAAGCAGAAGUUGUUUAUAAAGUUGCAUAGAUUUCUAUCCAGAUUACGAUCCUGUUUAUCUCCACUUGUCUUUUGGCAAGACCAUGGUCUUUGACUAAAGAAUUUUGGAAGAUUAAGGUGGACAGACAGAAUUGAAUGCAGUUAUACGGCUGUGUUGUGGCUGUGUUUCUAUCAAACCAAAAGAAAAAGCUGUGUUUUGCCUUGUCUUACAACUUGUUUGGAUGAUUGUUAAGUAUUGUUUCAUAAUGCAUGUAUCGUAUCAUAUUGUAUUGUAUUGUACUGUAUCGUUUUGACGUAUACAAUGUUUGGAUAGAUUGUAUUUUUUG